UCAAGUUUAUAAGGGCAUACGGCGGAUGCCUAGGCGUUUCGAAACGAAGAAGGACGCGAUAAGCUGCGAUAAGCCGUGGUUAGCUGCAAGUAAGCAUUGAUCCACGGAUUUCCGAAUGGGGCAACCCGGCAAGAGUAACGUCUUGUCACUCUACCUUCGAGGUAGAGAGAAAACACCCGAUGAACUGAAACAUCUAAGUAGUCGGAGGAAAAGAAAUCAAAGAGAUUCCCUGAGUAGCGGCGAGCGAAACGGGAAGAGCCCAAACCAAGAGACUUCGGUUUCUUGGGGUUGCGGACCUGCAACAAACUGGACACUUUAGUGGAAGCAUCUGGGAAGGUGCGGCGAAGAGAGUGAGACCCUCGUACACGAAAGAGUGAAAAGCGGGCAGGGAUCCAGAGUACCACAGGGCACGAGGAACCCAGUGGGAAGCAGGGUGGACCACCAUCCAAGGCUAAAUACAUCGAAACGACCGAUAGUGGAAAGUACCGUGAGGGAAAGGUGAAAAGAACCCCGGGAGGGGAGUGCAAUAGAACCUGAAACCGUAUGUCUACAAACAGUCGGAGCACUUUACAUGUGCGACGGCGUGCCUAUUGAAGAAUGAACCGGCGAGUUAAUUUAUGCUGCGAGGUUAAGCGGGAGACGCGGAGCCGAAGCGAAAGCGAGUCUUAAGAGGGCGUAAAGUAGCAUGGAUUAGACCCGAAACCACAGUGAUCUAUACAUGUCCAGGUUGAAGCUCAGGUAAAAAUGAGUGGAGGACCGAACCCGUGCAUGUUGAAAAAUGUUGGGAUGAGAUGUGUAUAGGGGUGAAAUGCCAAUCGAACGUGGAGAUAGCUGGUUCUCCCCGAAAUAGCUUUAGGGCUAGCCUCAGGCGAAUAACCAUAGAGACGGUAGAGCACUGAUCGGGCAAGGGGGCGUAAAGCCUACCGACCCCAGUCAAACUACGAAUGGCUCAUAUGGGCAGCCUGGGAGUCAGAAUGCGAGUGAUAAGACCCGUAUUCAAGAGGGAAACAGCCCAGACCGCCGGCUAAGGUCCCAAAUGCUGUGCUAAGUGGAGAAGGAUGUAGGACUUCGAAAACAACCAGGAUGUUGGCUCAGAAGCAGCCACCAUUAAAAGAGUGCGUAAUAGCUCACUGGUCGAGAGGCCCUGCGCCGAAAAUAUCCGGGGCUAAAGCACAGAACCGAAGCCGCGGCAGGAGUGUACAUAUCGACAGAGCGCCCAAGGCGCAGGAAAAAUUGGUAUCUGCAAGGCGAUGGAGCGAUGCAUAGCAGCGCUAUACAGAGCGACAUCAACACAGCAGAGAGCGAUUUUAACAAGCCUUUUGGACGUUGUGCCGGUGUGUAUACGACUGGGUAGGGGAGCGUUCUUAUCUGGACGAAGGUAGACCGGAAGGACUGCUGGACGGGUAAGAAGUGAGAAUGCCGGUAUGAGUAGCGAAACGACAGGUGAGAAUCCUGUCCACCGAAAGCCUAAGGGAUCCUGGGCAACGCUCGUCGCCCCAGGGUAAGUCGGGACCUAAGCCGAGGCGUAAAGCAUAGGCGAUGGACAACUGGCGAAAAUUCCAGUACCGGGCGUCUUCGUUUGAGGAUGGAGUGACGCAGGAAGGAAGCUGAGCGCGCGAAUGGAAGAGCGCGUCGAAGGCGGUAGGCUUGUAUGGAGGCAAAUCCCCAUACUACAAGGCCGAGAACCGAUAGAUAGGAAAGACUACGGUCAAUCUGAAUUCAGCUGCACUACACUGCCAAGAAAAGCUUCUAACGAGAAGACGUCCGCCCGUACCAAAACCGACACAGGUAGGCGGGGAGAGAAUCCUAAGGUGCGCGGGAAAACCCUCGUUAAGGAACUCGGCAAAAUGCAUCCGUAACUUCGGGAAAAGGAUGGCCGCUGAUGGUGACGACACUUGCUGUCUGAGCUGUUGACGGCGGCAGAAAAGAGGCCCAAGCGACUGUUUACCACAAACACAGGUGCCUGCGAAAGCGCAAGCUGAAGUAUAGGUGCUGACGCCUGCCCGGUGCAGGAAGGUUAAGGAGAGUUGUUAGUCCUUGAGAUGAAGCAGCGAACUGAAGCCCCUGUAAACGGCGGCCGUAACUAUAACGGUCCUAAGGUAGCGAAAUUCCUUGUCGGG
This 2120-nucleotide ribosomal RNA is filed under the name human metagenome. Its description in RNAcentral is "bacterial LSU rRNA". It matches the Rfam family "Bacterial large subunit ribosomal RNA", at positions 3 to 1976 of the family's 2925-position model. The record is from RNAcentral.